GAUGAACGCUGGCGGCGUGCUUAACACAUGCAAGUCGAACGAAGCACCUUUGAUAGAGUUUUCGGACAAUUGACGGGGUUGCUUAGUGGCGGACGGGUGAGUAACGCGUGAGCAACCUGCCUUUCAGUGGGGAAUAACAGUUGGAAACGACUGCUAAUACCGCAUAAUGUAACGGAACCACAUGGUUCUGUUACCAAAGAUUUAUCGCUGAAAGAUGGGCUCGCGUCUGAUUAGCUAGUUGGUGAGGUAAUGGCCCACCAAGGCGACGAUCAGUAGCCGGACUGAGAGGUUGACCGGCCACAUUGGGACUGAGAUACGGCCCAGACUCCUACGGGUGGCAG
This 341-nucleotide ribosomal RNA is filed under the name uncultured Bacillota bacterium. RNAcentral describes it as "bacterial SSU rRNA". It matches the Rfam family "Bacterial small subunit ribosomal RNA", at positions 28 to 351 of the family's 1533-position model. The record is from RNAcentral. Lineage: Bacteria; Bacillati; Bacillota.